RNAcentral lists this ribosomal RNA (650 nucleotides) under uncultured archaeon. Its description in RNAcentral is "bacterial SSU rRNA". It matches the Rfam family "Archaeal small subunit ribosomal RNA", at positions 64 to 697 of the family's 1478-position model. The record is from RNAcentral.
UAAGGUUUACGAUUCGCCCUUAAGGCUCAGUAACACGUGGCCAACCUGCCCUUAGGACAAGUAUAACCCCGGGAAACUGGGGAUAAUCCUUGAUAGGUGAGGAAUUCUGGAAUGAGUCUUUGCUUAAAGGACGUGCAGAUCACGCUUCUGUGCGUUGCCUAAGGAUGGGGCCGCGGCCGAUCAGGUUGUUGGUGAGGUAACGGCUCACCAAGCCUAUAACCGGUACGGGCCGUGAAAGCGGAAGCCCGGAGAUGGGCACUGAGACAAGGGCCCAGGCCCUACGGGGCGCAGCAGUCGCGAAAACUCCGCAAUACGCGAAAGCGUGACGGGGCUAUCCCGAGUGCUAUUCGAUGAGAGUAGCUUUUCCUCAGUGUAAAGUGCUGGGGGAAUAAGGAGGGGGCAAGACUGGUGUCAGCCGCCGCGGUAAUACCAGCUCUCCGAGUGAUAGGGACGUUUAUUGGGCCUAAAGCAUCCGUAGCUUGCUGAGUCUGUCCUCCGUUAAAUCCAACGAUUUAAUCGUUGGGCUGCGGGGGAUACUGCUUAGCUAGGAGGCGGGAGAGGCCGACGGUAUUUCCGGGGUAGGGGUGAAAUCCUAUAAUCCCGGGACGACCACCAGUGGCGAAGGCUGUCGGCUAGAACGCGCUCGACGG